RNAcentral lists this transfer RNA (64 nucleotides) under Phyllochaetopterus sp. AW-2015. Its description in RNAcentral is "tRNA-Phe". It matches the Rfam family "tRNA". Rfam says of the family: Transfer RNA (tRNA) molecules are approximately 80 nucleotides in length. Their secondary structure includes four short double-helical elements and three loops (D, anti-codon, and T loops). Lineage: Eukaryota; Metazoa; Annelida; Polychaeta; Chaetopteridae. The record is from RNAcentral.
ACUAGGAUAGCUUAAAUACAAAGCAUAACAUUGAAGCUGUUAAGAUGGGGUUAACCUCUUAGUA